AGGCGCGUAGCUCAGUGGGAGAGCGCUACACUGACACUGUAGAAGUCGGCGGUUCGACCCCGCCCGUGCCUACCA
Molecule: transfer RNA, 75 nt
Filed under: Desulfobulbaceae bacterium
Lineage: Bacteria; Pseudomonadati; Thermodesulfobacteriota; Desulfobulbia; Desulfobulbales; Desulfobulbaceae
Description: tRNA-Val
Rfam family: tRNA
About the family: Transfer RNA (tRNA) molecules are approximately 80 nucleotides in length. Their secondary structure includes four short double-helical elements and three loops (D, anti-codon, and T loops).
Source: RNAcentral